RNAcentral lists this ribosomal RNA (252 nucleotides) under uncultured bacterium. RNAcentral describes it as "partial 16S ribosomal RNA". It matches the Rfam family "Bacterial small subunit ribosomal RNA", at positions 524 to 776 of the family's 1533-position model. The record is from RNAcentral.
UACAGAGGGUGCAAGCGUUAAUCGGAAUUACUGGGCGUAAAGCGUGCGCAGGCGGCUUUGCAAGACAGAUGUGAAAUCCCCGGGCUCAACCUGGGAACUGCAUUUGUGACUGCAAGGCUAGAGUACGGCAGAGGGGGAUGGAAUUCCGCGUGUAGCAGUGAAAUGCGUAGAUAUGCGGAGGAACACCAAUGGCGAGGCAAUCCCCUGGGCCUGUACUGACGCUCAUGCACGAAAGCGUGGGGAGCAAACAGG